GACGAACGCUGGCGGCGUGCUUAACACAUGCAAGUCGAACGGAAAGGCCCUGCUUUUGUGGGGUGCUCGAGUGGCGAACGGGUGAGUAACACGUGAGUAACCUGCCCUUGACUUUGGGAUAACUUCAGGAAACUGGGGCGAAUACCGGAUAGGAGCUCCUGCUGCAUGGUGGGGGUUGGAAAGUUUCGGCGGUUGGGGAUGGACUCGCGGCUUAUCAGCUUGUUGGUGGGGUAGUGGCUUACCAAGGCUUUGACGGGUAGCCGGCCUGAGAGGGUGACCGGCCACAUUGGGACUGAGGUACGGCCCAGACUCCUACGGGAGGCAGCAGUGGGGAAUAUUGCACAAUGGGCGGAAGCCUGAUGCAGCAACGCCGCGUGCGGGAUGACGGCCUUCGGGUUGUAAACCGCUUUCGCCUGUGACGAAGCGUGAGUGACGGUAAUGGGUAAAGAAGCACCGGCUAACUACGUG
This 468-nucleotide ribosomal RNA is filed under the name uncultured bacterium. RNAcentral describes it as "partial 16S ribosomal RNA". It matches the Rfam family "Bacterial small subunit ribosomal RNA", at positions 28 to 507 of the family's 1533-position model. The record is from RNAcentral.